CAGACUCCCGUUAUGUCCUGCACUCACCGGCCAAAGCCGCCGCAGCCGCCGAUCUCCCCCGACCGUGUUCUCCCUCUCCGGACUCGGGUAUCUCCAGGGACAGCUGAUCAUGCGCACUCCCGGCCCGCCGCCAUGUUGGGUCUUCUCCACAAGACCAUAAGAACUUAGGAGACUCAGUCCUGUCAUCUGCACAGCGGAGAGACUGAACUGGAUGAUCUUGGAGGCCUUCUCUAACUCUGACGUGACUCCCCAGGCAGAGAGUGGUGAUGUGGGGGGUGGGAAGGACACUGACCAGAGAGAGCAGCACCCCCAAAAAGCUGGUCCACAUGCGUGAGGAUGAACUCGACGACGAUGGACUGCACACGCACCUCCAUGAAGGCUGCCGUCCCAUUGAAGCCUGAGGCCUCUAUGUCCUUAGACCUGUGGAGGUGUGGAGUUAUGCCUCGCAGCCCCACCGCAUCUCCCCAUUCAAAUUCUCCAUAAAAAUACCUUAUACCCUU
This is a long non-coding RNA of Bubalus bubalis (water buffalo), 500 nucleotides long. RefSeq lists it as uncharacterized. The record is from RefSeq and is a predicted model, not a curated record. Lineage: Eukaryota; Metazoa; Chordata; Mammalia; Artiodactyla; Bovidae. The transcript is spliced from 2 exons.